This 1255-nucleotide long non-coding RNA is filed under the name Anser brachyrhynchus (Pink-footed goose). Its description in RNAcentral is "lncRNA (ENSABRG00000006960.1)". Lineage: Eukaryota; Metazoa; Chordata; Aves; Anseriformes; Anatidae. The record is from RNAcentral.
CCCCCCCUUUAUUUUUGUCUGUGUAUGUGUCGAUACCUGUGUCCCGCUGGGUGCUGGUGAAGGCCUGGCCCAGCUGGUGCCCGUUGAUCAAGGGCUGCCAUGCGCCAUCAGCCUCACAGGCAGCAGCUGGCUGAGGUGGUGAGGAUUUGUUUGGCCCUUCUGAGGGGAAGGAAUGCUGCACUUUGAGUGUUUGGUGCAGCCUCAGGACUGCUGAAAAUCUGAGGAAAGGAGACUGAGCAAAAACUCUUCUCAGGCCUGGUUCUGGUGGGCUGCAGUGUUCUAAUAAAUGGAGGGAGGUGGCAAGGUUGCCCAGUUCAGGCACCUUGUAGAAAGUGCCCUUUGGGAUGAAGAGCCUUCAAAAUGCUUUGAAGAGUAUUGGUGGGGACUAAGGAGGUUCCUGAGUGCAGCCUAACAAAAAAGUUCAAGAUAGAUGUAGAUGGCCCUAUGCCACUCAGGAGAAGCAGCUGUGUGAGGAGAAGCUCAUGUGGCACCCUGCGGCUGAUGGAGAUUUCUGAGCAUUACACAGAAUUGAUAGUCAAGCUUAACUCCUCUCCAGUGAGUGUCCAGUCAUGUGAGACAUUGUGCUGUCAGUGGCCUUGUUACCAUCAAUAUCAGCGUUUUUGGGAGGAUAUUGAGAAGUUUCAGGAAACAUGCAGCAUCUUGCAAGGCUGUAUGUUUGUAAGGAAUAAUAAUGCAAAACUAUUCCAGGAGCUUUCAGGCAUAGCUAUUAAACCAUUUAUUGUUCUUCCACUCCGCAUGAACUGUGGCAAUGGCAUCAUGUGAGUAAUUGUGGCAACAGGUCUGUGCCUUUCUCUGUGGAAAAGCCAAUUGUAAACUCUGAAGGACUAUCAGGAGUACGUCUUUACUGUUGUCCAAGGCAUGUGAAGACUCAGUGGAACUGUACUGCUGCUGUUGCCCUUCUGAAAGCAGUCACACUUCGAGAGCAUGGACCAAGCUACUCUGUGUACAUUUGGAAUCUUUCUUGAGCAGAUCCUGAAGGAUGCCCACAAUCUGCAGUCUUACUGCUGUGGAUAACUACCUGGAUUAAAGCUAGUUGGAGUAUUUUUUUGAUAUAUUGCAGAUGAACUGUAUACAUAUGUUUACCCUGAAAGAGAGGAACACAAACAGCAUGCAGGAUUGUCCCUAUUGUACUAGGUUUUCCCAUGGCAAUAAGCUGAUUCCAAAGGAAGAGCUACACCUUGUUCAUUUGCCUCAAACCAAUAAAGUUUUCCAAUGGCUUAGUAGGAUACCUUAG